CCUACGGGAGGCAGCAGUGAGGAAUAUUGGUCAAUGGGCGCGAGCCUGAACCAGCCAAGUAGCGUGAAGGAUGACUGCCCUAUGGGUUGUAAACCUCUUUUAUAAAGGAAUAAAGUGAGGCACGUGUGCCUGUUUGCAGGUACCGUAUGAAUAAGGAUCGGCUAAUUCCGUGCCAGCAGCCGCGGUAAUACGGAGGGUCCGAGCGUUAUCCGGAUUUAUUGGGUUUAAAGGGAGCGUAGAUGGGUUGUUAAGUCAGUUGUGAAAUUUUGCGGCUCAACCGUAAAAUUGCAAUUGGUACUGGCAGUCUUGAGUGCAGUUGAGGUAGGCGGAAUUCGUGGUGUAGCGGUGAAAUGCUUAGAUAUCACGAAGAACUCCGAUUGCGAAGGCAGCUUACUAAACUGCCACUGACAUUGAUGCUCGAAAGUGUGGGUAUCAAACAGGAUUAGAUACCCUUGUAGUC
Molecule: ribosomal RNA, 460 nt
Filed under: uncultured bacterium
Lineage: Bacteria
Description: partial 16S ribosomal RNA
Rfam family: Bacterial small subunit ribosomal RNA
Source: RNAcentral